UAGUUGGUGAGGUAACGGCUCACCAAGGCCACGAUGCGUAGCCGACCUGAGAGGGUGAUCGGCCACACUGGGACUGAGACACGGCCCAGACUCCUACGGGAGGCAGCAGUAGGGAAUCUUCCGCAAUGGACGAAAGUCUGACGGAGCAACGCCGCGUGAGUGAUGAAGGUUUUCGGAUCGUAAAACUCUGUUGUUAGGGAAGAACAAGUAUCGGAGUAACUGCCGGUACCUUGACGGUACCUAACCAGAAAGCCACGGCUAACUACGUGCCAGCAGCCGCGGUAAUACGUAGGUGGCAAGCGUUGUCCGGAAUUAUUGGGCGUAAAGCGCGCGCAGGUGGUUCCUUAAGUCUGAUGUGAAAGCCCACGGCUCAACCGUGGAGGGUCAUUGGAAACUGGGGAACUUGAGUGCAGAAGAGGAAAGUGGAAUUCCAAGUGUAGCGGUGAAAUGCGUAGAGAUUUGGAGGAACACCAGUGGCGAAGGCGACUUUCUGGUCUGUAACUGACACUGAGGCGCGAAAGCGUGGGGAGCGAACAGGAUUAGAUACCCUGGUAGUCCACGCCGUAAACGAUGAGUGCUAAGUGUUAGA
RNAcentral lists this ribosomal RNA (589 nucleotides) under Cytobacillus horneckiae. Its description in RNAcentral is "bacterial SSU rRNA". It matches the Rfam family "Bacterial small subunit ribosomal RNA", at positions 246 to 827 of the family's 1533-position model. Lineage: Bacteria; Bacillati; Bacillota; Bacilli; Caryophanales; Bacillaceae. The record is from RNAcentral.